GACAGAGGGUGCAAACGUUGUUCGGAAUUACUGGGCGUAAAGCGCGUGUAGGCGGCCCUGCAAGUCGGAUGUGAAAUCCCACGGCUCAACCGUGGAAGUGCAUUCGAAACUGCAGGGCUAGAGUCCUGGAGAGGAAGGUGGAAUGCUUGGUGUAGAGGUGAAAUUCGUAGAUAUUCGGAGGAACACCAGUGGCGAAGGCGGCUCACUGGCUCGAUACUGACGCUGAGGUGCGAAAGCGUGGGGAGCAAACAGG
This 253-nucleotide ribosomal RNA is filed under the name uncultured bacterium. RNAcentral describes it as "partial 16S ribosomal RNA". It matches the Rfam family "Bacterial small subunit ribosomal RNA", at positions 524 to 776 of the family's 1533-position model. The record is from RNAcentral.